CAGGGCCAAGUCAGUGCCCACAAAGACUUACUCCAAUGAGGUGGUGACCCUGUGGUACAGGCCCCCCGAUGUGCUGCUGGGAUCCACAGAGUACUCCACCCCCAUUGAUAUGUGGGGCGUGGGCUGCAUCCACUACGAGAUGGCCACAGGGAGGCCCCUCUUCCCGGGCUCCACAGUCAAGGAGGAGCUGCACCUCAUCUUUCGCCUCCUCGGGACCCCCACAGAAGAGACGUGGCCCGGCGUGACCGCCUUCUCUGAGUUCCGCACCUACAGCUUCCCCUGCUACCUCCCGCAGCCGCUCAUCAACCACGCGCCCAGGUAGCCCCUGCGCCCGCCGCCCCUCCUGCUGCGGCCCUGGCUCUCCCAUCCCCAAUCAGGCACAGCCUGUGUCCGCGCCUUCUCCUUGCAGGUUGGAUACGGAUGGCAUCCACCUCCUGAGCAGCCUGCUCCUGGUGAGUGUCCUCCCGG
This 468-nucleotide small RNA is filed under the name Pan troglodytes (chimpanzee). Its description in RNAcentral is "processed transcript". The record is from RNAcentral. Lineage: Eukaryota; Metazoa; Chordata; Mammalia; Primates; Hominidae.